CUACGUAGGGAGCGAGCGUUGUCCGGAAUUACUGGGUGUAAAGGGUGCGUAGGCGGGUAGACAAGUCAGCAGUGAAAUUUAUGGGCUUAACUCAUAACGUGCAUUUGAAACUGCAGGUCUUGAGUAUCGGAGAGGCAAGCGGAAUUCCUAGUGUAGCGGUGAAAUGCGUAGAUAUUAGGAGGAACACCAGUGGCGAAGGCGGCUUGCUGGACGACAACUGACGCUGAGGCGCGAAAGCGUGGGGAGCAAACAGGAUUAGAUACCCUGGUAGUCCACGCCCUAAACGAUGAAUACUAGGUGUGGGGGGACUGACCCCUUCCGUGCCGGAGUAAACACAAUAAGUAUUCCACCUGGGGAGUACGACCGCAAGGUUGAAACUCAAAUGAAUUGACGGGG
Molecule: ribosomal RNA, 396 nt
Filed under: uncultured bacterium
Lineage: Bacteria
Description: partial 16S ribosomal RNA
Rfam family: Bacterial small subunit ribosomal RNA
Source: RNAcentral